UGCAGUCGACGAACCUUCGGGUUAGUGGCGGACGGGUGAGUAACGCGUGAGAAUCUGCCCUCAGGAGGGGGAUAACAGUUGGAAACGACUGCUAAUACCCCAUAUGCCGAGAGGUGAAACGAAUUUUGCCUGGGGAUGAGCUCGCGUCUGAUUAGCUUGUUGGUGGGGUAAAAGCCUACCAAGGCUUCGAUCAGUAGCUGGUCUGAGAGGACGAUCAGCCACACUGGGACUGAGAUACGGCCCAGACUCCUACGGGAGGCAGCAGUGGGGAAUUUUCCGCAAUGGGCGCAAGCCUGACGGAGCAACGCCGCGUGAGGGAUGAAGGCCUUUGGGCUGUAAACCUCUUUUCUCAAGGAAGAAGAUCUGACGGUACUUGAGGAAUAAGCCACGGCUAAUUCCGUGCCAGCAGCCGCGGUAAUACGGGAGUGGCAAGCGUUAUCCGGAAUUAUUGGGCGUAAAGCGUCCGCAGGCGGCCGUUUAAGUCUGUUGUUAAAUCGUGGAGCUCAACUCCAUCACGGCAAUGGAAACUGUUCGGCUUGAGUAUGGUAGGGGCAGAGGGAAUUUCCGGUGUAGCGGUGAAAUGCGUAGAUAUCGGGAAGAACACCAGUGGCAAAAGCGCUCUGCUGGGCCAUUACUGACGCUCAUGGACGAAAGCCAGGGGAGCGAAAGGGAUUAGAUACCCCUGUAGUCCUG
Molecule: ribosomal RNA, 693 nt
Filed under: uncultured bacterium
Lineage: Bacteria
Description: bacterial SSU rRNA
Rfam family: Bacterial small subunit ribosomal RNA
Source: RNAcentral